GUACAAUUUGCGCGUACAUACCUCCACGUCCGAUCUCACGCGAUUCGAUACAUAAAAUGUCGCGCCUUUCGCGAAUUUUCCGAAUUGUCACCUUCGACCUCUUAACGAAAACUUCGCAAUUACCAGAGAUCCGUCCGUCGGAUUUUCGAUCCGACAGCACCAUUGCGUUCAGCACGACGAGGACAUCGAAACUACGAUUUCGUUUCAUCCGAUUUACUUGCCGAUUUGCGACAAAAUCCAACCUCUCUCCAACUAAUCCAGAUAUCAUACAUAGGCCUUGGUGGAAACCUGAAAUCCUUUAAUUCAAA
RNAcentral lists this long non-coding RNA (308 nucleotides) under Ananas comosus (pineapple). RNAcentral's name for it is "long non-coding RNA (ACOM_LNC025809)". The record is from RNAcentral. Lineage: Eukaryota; Viridiplantae; Streptophyta; Magnoliopsida; Poales; Bromeliaceae.